AUGAUGUCCCCAUCACAUCUCCUUGGGCUUCUGCUCCUCUGGGUUCCAGCCUCCAGGGGUGAUAUUGUGCUGACCCAGUCUCCAGACUCCCUGUCUGGGACUCCAGGGGAGAAAGUCACCAUCACCUGCCAGGCCAGUCAGAGCAUUGGCACCAGCUUACACUGGUACCAGCAGAAACCAAAUCAGCCUCCAAAGCUUCUAAUAAAGUAUGCUUCUCAGUCCAUCUCUGGGAUCCCCUCACGGUUCAGUGGCAGUGGAUCUGGGACAGAUUUCACACUCACCAUCAGUAGCCUAGAAGCUGAAGAUGCUGCAACUUACUACUGUCAACAGAGCAGUAGUAAUCCUCACACUGUGCUACACCCCAGAACAAAAACUUGCUCAGCCUGGUCCAGUAUCUUCCACCUCAGGGUCAAUGCCUGCUUCCAGGAGCUCCACGUCACAGCCCUCACCCACCCCUCCUCUGCUCAGGCUGCCAUAACACGGGGGCCCUUUAAUUUGCUCAAUGAGGGACCCUCCCUGACAUUUGGAAGUCAGAAGACGAGGAUUCAUAACUCACCACUGCACCUGCAGGCAGACACGUGGGCAGGGAUGAGGACUGGAGAGUCACCUGGUGAGGUGUUGCAGGCAGCUGAGAGCAUCAGCAUCCCCACCAUUGGGCUUCACAAUCAGGUAUGA
Molecule: non-coding RNA, 675 nt
Organism: Cynocephalus volans (Philippine flying lemur)
Lineage: Eukaryota; Metazoa; Chordata; Mammalia; Dermoptera; Cynocephalidae
Source: the annotation of a RefSeq genome assembly